CAGCAGGACAAGCGAUCUUGCAGGGUUUGUAUGCUAGAAAUAUGCACUCAAUCGAAUGUAGAAGAACAUGACAUUUCGCCCUCUGCCCCCAAUGGACAGAGUUACAGUGUGACGCAACCUUGGAACUGUCGCAUCUGGAAGCCCCAAGCGACAAUAGCUAAAUGCGAGGAAGGAUCCUUGGUGUUCAACACAGCAUCUGAGAUACCCAUAUCCUCACUCCAUAGGUAGGCCGCGGCAUCAACUGCAGAUGGACACCAAUAACCGCCCCGUUGCCCGCGCCAGUUGCCGUGUGUUCUCUGGCCCUUGUUCUAUACACAUGGUUCCCUCGGCCGCAAAUGCACUGACUGUCCUUGCCAAUCCCGCUUUGCUAGGUUCACAGAACACGACGUUAGGUUCUUGCCUGAAUUAUUUUAGUUAACUACGCGGUAUGCAAUCGAGGCUAGUAUAAAGAAGCCACUUCGCUUUCAAUUAUUCGUUCAUCCCCAUUUGGUCUUGUGCGAUCUUGUUUUUUUUUUCUCCUCUCUUUAAUCACAGGGUUUUGGGGCAAAUCUGGUUUUCUAUAUAUUUUCUAUUCUAGAAUUUGGAGGGAAAGAAAGGUAGAAAGGGGUGGGAGAGAAAAGAAAGGAAAAAAAAAAAAAAAGGAGGAGGAGGGGGGCUGUUACACAGGGAUGCGUAUGCAUGGAUGUAUGCAUGACACACUCGAUAUGUGUGUGCCUUCGGGUUCCUGCAUGGAUAAUGGAUUCAAAAGGGGAUGGCGGCGGAUGCCUCGUAGCAAGGGACACUGCAACGAAGAACAAGACAGGCCGAAUCGGCGUAUGAAACGUAAAUAUAUAAAGGAGUUGGAAAUUGUAUUAUUUCUCUAAUCCAAGGUUGGAUGCCAACGACCCGACACUCACCGACUACGAACCAAAAUCAAACUAAAAUAAUUGAAUUCCGAAGGGGGAAAAGAAAAAAGAGGUAAAAAAAACCGAAACGAGGACCGAAACGAGGACCGAAGGGGAAAAGAAGAGGUUUCUCCCAUUGAUAUCCGAACAAGCGAAGGGUAUUUCAAAUCGACAAAAUAAUCACUCAUAUCAAUAGCAUCAUCCCCCCAUACGUCUUCCAUCAAACUUUCACAAAAUAAGUAAGUCUCCAGAACCGUGCUCAUACCACCAAUUAAUGCCAUUAUGAUUAAUCGUAUCAUCAGACAAACAAUACGUCGUAGCUAUGCAAGGCUACCUAUUAUUACCACAAACCAGAGCUCUCAACCCACUACAUCGCAUGCGAUGUUGUGAUUACCCCAAGCCGACACGGAAAACCAAAAGUCGAAAGGAUUUUAGGAAAGGGCUACACAAAAACAAGAAAAACAGAGAGGAAAAUCAAUAAUAAAUCGGUUCCUGAUAAAUCGGCGGCAUCCCUUUCUCCUCAUUCCACGUAAUCUUAUUAUUCUUCUCAUCAAUCGUUGCAUCCUCGUCGGAAAUCGCAAUCACCUUGGACGUAUGCGCCACCUCCUGCCUACUCACUCCACCAACAUCGCGUGGAAUCCACAACAACGGCGGCUUCGAGCCGACAGAAGGGUGGAAAUAAGCAUUCUGCUCAACCUCAGGAGUAUAUGAGAUAUCGGCAAAAUCCUUGGGGACGAGCUUGCGCAGAGUUUCGUAGUUGGCGUAUCUGUCUGGGCGCAGAAAUUUGCCGACAAUGCCAUGGGGCUUUGUUGGGAGGAGGUCGGUGGGGUUUGAUAUGCCCUUUUCGGCAUCAGUGCCAUCCGCGCCAUUGCUGGAAGGACCAACAGCGGGCUUUUCAGCAGCAUCACUGCUGUCUUGAGGAGAGCCAUCUUUGGCGAGCAGGUCCUGCUCUUCUGCUUCGAGGUUGCGUGGCAGAUACUCGAGCAAUGGGGUGACAGCAGCAUUAAGCGAAACAUGGUAGAUAACUACAAAGACAAGGAAGAUGAUCAUGAGGAUUAAGGGCCCGAGGGCGCUCCUGUCACUGCCAGUGCUGAUGGCAAAGAGGCCCACUAGACAGAGAAUGAGGAGGUAGCAGCCUACGGCUGUUUGUUGGAGGGCACGAGGGUAAAUCAUGCCUUUGGUGUCGAUGUUGCUAUUGGUGACGUACAGCAUGUUAUAACGAUAUGCGACAUAGAAGAGGAACAAUCCAAUAGUGGCGAAGCCAAGGACCAAGGGGGCAAUGGCACCAUAGGUAAUGGCUAAAGAGGGGGAGUAAUCAGUCUGAUUAUGGUUUGAUAACGAUGAGAUUGGGAUGGGUUUACAUACCAAUCACGCAAAGGUUGGUCAGAACCGGCAAGACGGUCCCCCAGCCCAAACCGGAGAGCGUUGACCACCGUUUGUACAUCUUUCGGGGAGUGUUAUCCAAAAGCGUGCCCAAGAUUUUUGAUACAAUCAAGCCAGCGAUCUGGAGCAGAGCACCCGCACUGAAAGUUAGACCCUGGAGAAUGAAGUACGCAAUAUAGAAGUUAGAUGCUUUGGGGAUGUUCUGAGCCAGCAAUGUCGCUGCACUUUCAGGUUUUUGGAUCACUUUCUGUACAACACUUGAGGCUGCGGAAGAUAAUGUUGUAACAAGGAACACCUGGACAACCUGGAAUCCAAAAUAGAAGUUUUGGGUUCUGAGCUCUGCAGCAGCUGUAGUUGGACAGCCACCAAGUCGUGCCAUUAAUCGAAGUAUGAUGGGCAGCAGAGCCAUCAGAACUGCAAGGAGCACAGCGGGGAGCAGGGAAGUGAUAAGACCCAGAAUGACCGGAGGACAGUCAUUAAUAAAUCCGAGAAAAGGGACUUUUUCUGUUAAGAAGUUGAUGUUUGAGAUGGCACCCACAACAGCAACUGGAAUCGCCCAGAAGAUGAUCAGGGUUACAACAGCACCAAUGGUGGCAGCAUUUCUGAUAAUAAGCUCCCACCACUUAAUCCUCAAAUUUGACCAGAUGAUAUCGUUUGGAUUGAGACCAAUGUAUCGUGGAGCCAUGUGGAGGGGUUGGUUAUGAGCAACUGAUGCCGGAGUUAGUAAGUGUACCCAAUGAUUUUGAUGUCGCAAGUUAACAAGUUAACAUACCCAUUUGAUACGCUGCCUGCGCCUCAUUUUGAGUGUAGAAUUCUACAAAUACCGCGGAUAUUUUCUUAGCAUCACCAGCACGAUGUUUUGCCUGGAGGGCUUCUAUUUCUGGAUUCAAACGCUCGAUCUCAGUCCUCGACCAGUUGAUGGUAUCAACCUUUUUGCCAAUAAGAGGUUUGAGUUUAUGGGUAGGCCUAUUGGAAGGUUUUAUCCAGCGAGCGGCCACUGAGCCUGAUUCUGCCUGAGCCUCAUCACCAGUAAGAUUAUCUGUGUCGUGGUUUUCCUCAUCGGCUGGCUUAGACUUGAGAGACUUGAUGCGUGCACCAUUGGCCAAUUUGAUCAGUUUUGUUUCAGCAGCCUCAAGGCGGAAUGCAGUUUUGUCUCUUUCCUCAACCAAGUCCGCCAAUUCCUUGGUGUCAGUUGGGAUCCAAACAUUUUUCACUUUAUCAUCGCCAUAAAUACGUCGAAUCUUUGCUUCAUUCAAGUAUUCUUGGGGGACGGAGGUGAAGAGAACAGUCUUUGAAGAGAUACGGGAAGCAUAAAGUGGAGAGAAGAAGUAUGCUUGGCGCAGGUUGAUGAAAAAGAGCAUUUCCCGUGUGAUCAUGAAGAAAACAAAACCUUUGGGUGAGUGGUAUGCGAUUUUAGUACUUUGCUUACUUUCCGGUCAUUGGAGGGCAGGUGGGACCUACCAACGAAGAUCCAAGUCACAAAGGUAUGGGCAUAGAAUCUAUUCAGGUUGUUUUUCACGUUUCCAAAAGUGAGGAUAUCCAAUUGUUUUAGCCCCCCACCGCCAGUGGCAUUGACGGGAAAUAGAACUGGCCAGGUGAUAAAACAGCCCACCAGGCAAAUUGUUGUCGCAAUCUUCAGGUAUCGAAGGAGGAGAUAUGCAUCUAGAGAGUGGUGUCGCAAUACGUAUUCAUCAGACAACUUGGCCAUCGACGUUAUCCAACCAAAGAUCCCCGGUGAUGGCGCUGGAGUGCGCUCCUGCUCUCGCAGCGAGCCAAGAUAGGUUCUCGGCGCAUAUUGGCGACGUUGACUUUGACGGAGAAUGAUGAAGAGCAGUACCAUGGCCCCGGAGAUGAUGAGGGUAGGGAUCAAGGUCGAGACCAGCCCGGAGGCCGAGUUGGAGGUACUCUUAGGGUCCUCGUCCUGGGGUGUGAGCACAUGUUAGAUUCAAGUCUUACAUCUCGAAGCAAACAUGCCCGCCACGUUCAAGAAGAGAGCUUGAGGGUUAUAACCAUUGCUUACCAUGGCUGCGGUUUCUGCUACAGCUGCUCCUAAGUUCCGCUGUCAAGCUGCACAAUGCAGGUCGAUGGGGAGCCGCCAACUGCAGCAAUGACAGCAAAGACGGACUCAAGUUAACGAUAUAUAUCGCCAGCCUUCGAGCGCACAAUGGAAUCAGAUAAAAAGGGGAAAAAAGGGAGAAAAGCCCGGAAGAGGGGAACAGUGUUGAAUUUCAAUUUAUGUACAGUUCACAAGUAGGAGAGGAAGGAAAAUGAAAAUAAAAGAGCGACGAUACAAAGGAGCAAGCCAGGCAAGCCACGAUGAAGUGGACAAACACGCGAUUUGCUGCCGCAAGCUUUCACUGCUCGAUGACAAGCCACAGCUCUAUCUGAUGCAAGAGGCAGGAAAAUAGUUGUUGUUCCGCCACCAAGCUGGGAAUCCAUCACAGCAAGUCAAUGCCGGGUUUGGCAUUGGCCAUGCUCACUGAUUGUUUGGUUUUCUUUCUUUUUCUUUCUUUUUUUUAGAGCUCACGGAGCCGAGGACUCCCUCGACGAUCAGGAUCCACUCAGAGGCAAAAGAUAUCAUCAUUCUGCACGUAUCUGUACUAAGUAUCGUCUGGAUUGUUCACUUCCUACCCCGGUUCCUUCGGUCUCCAUCGGCUUUUACCCUUCUCAGAGCCGUGGCAUUACCAUUUGUGUUGCUUGUCACCUCUCCCGUUGUUUUGCGUACUCCGUAGUAUCGGCAACAUUUUCUCAGAGCUAGCGAGCCAGGCAUGCGAAGUGGCGAGUUUUGCUCCUGAGCUAUCCAAGGUUUUGCCCAGAGUUAUAGCUUCCAAUGGCAGACCAUGGGCGUGAUGCUCAUCACGUCAAAUAGUCAGAAUGCCAUACGAGAUCCUCGAUCGCGGGGGCUUUGGAAGAAUCACUGCCCAAAGGGGCAGCCAGUUCUCUGAAGGGGAGACUCUGCUGCCAAUAAACAUGCGCGAAAUCCCGAAGGAAUGGACUAUCACGUUUAAACUUCGAGCUAAGGGGCGCGGAGCCCUGGACAGUGGAUAUAUUGAGUGGAGCUUUCUGUGGACACCGGGCACCUUGUCUGGCGGCCCUUGACUACCCAAGCUGGGUUUUCGUUGUGCUGGCCUCGCCACCAGAAAACAGGAAACGGCGAACGGGUGACAGAGCCAUGGCGAGCUAUGUUAUUUUUCCUGUCACUUCCAGUAGUUUACAUUUCAGGCAUUUUAUUUUUCACGACCUUCCACGGCGGUUUGUACUAUGUAUGUCGCCUUAAAAUUGAACAGGCCCAAAAUUGUAAAAAUUGUGAUUGCUCAAAAAUGUGGUUACUGGUUAGGCCCCGCGCAAAAUCGCAUCGCUGAUCGAGGAGUUGCUAAACCAGGCUAAAUUAUUAUUCAAUGACUUCUGCGUCAGAUGCCAUUCAAAGUUGGCCCUGCCAAGAUGGCUGGCUGAUCGUUCCUCGGCUGAUGCGAUUUUGCUGACAUGGAUUCUAGGACUCACUAACUGGCUAAGUAUUUGGUAUUUUCAUCAACAUGAAAUGCAGCAAGGUGGACAAAUAUGAACCGGACCAUUUCCAUUACGUCUGGCUGAGAUUAGGCAUCAUUCCUCCAAAACAAGCCCAAAUCGCCCAGGCGGGUUUGUGAUUGAUCAGAUAUAACAACAGUACUAUUUCUCGUGUCCCCAGAACCUCCAAGUUCGCAGGGGGAAAUGGAAUUCGGAUAGCUAUGGGCAACCUCACGAAAUCUUCCCAUGUCUCGGCUCCUGGCACCCUCGAAUCCCCUACGGUCCCGUGCCCGCUUCUUCCCAAAUCCGUUCCAUCACGGUUUCAGCAAAAGGCCAGGGAUUCAUGUGUUGCCAUUCACUUCCAUGCAAGUGCCUUUCGAUGGGUUUUGUGACUCUUGAUCCCAAGGCAGAAGGAGAGGAAGAGGGAGUCCUAUCAUGAAUUUCCGAAGGUUAUUCUUAUUAAUACCGUUGCCAUUGGUGAAGCCUCUCGCUUGAGAUAGUGGUGUUUGUAGCGCAAAGGUACAACAAGUUCGUGUCCGCAUGUCAUCAAUGGGGUUGACUUUGUCCGGAUUUCCUGUGAUUAUUUCUCGCGACGCUUGCACACAUUGCUACCGCCUAAUUAUGGAUUAGACACCAAUCGAAAAAUCCACAUCGAUACCCCCUUUUAUGAAAUCCCUCGGGGCUCUAUGAUCUGUUGCCCGAAAAAUAAAGUUCCUGAGGACCCUACUUUAUACCUUGCCCGUGGCCGAAUUUGAAGACGGCAUGGUCAGCCAGCCGGUCACCGGAAAACUGCCCCACCAAUCUUAUUCUUGGGUUUAUGUCUGCAAAUGUAGCGAUGACUGCUCUCUGCAACUUUGACGAAAGCCGCGUUGACAUCAUGGCUGGCCACGCUGGGAGGCGUGGAGUAGGGUUGCGAGGCGGAUAUUUAGGUAAGUGGCGCCACAAUGAGGGAGAGGAUUGCCAUUCUCAUGUUCCUGUGUCCAGGUAUGGGAUGUUGGACUGGUUGUGUUCAAGAUUCAGGAUAUCCUCAAAGGAAACAUUUUUUCUACAAAGAAAAGUAGCGUAUUGAAUGAUGAAUAGCACCUAAAUAACUAGUCAAGACUGUCUUCCUCCUCAGGCCCUCAUUUCGGAGUUCAUUAAAAUGUGACUAGAUGUGUGUCCUUUGUCUACAACCUGUUUGAAAGGAUCUAUCCCAAUCCCAGACCAAGAUCUGUUGUGCAUGCAUUCUGAUUGUGACUAGUGAUUGAGCAGCAUAUCUAAAAAAGUUGGAGACAACUUCUCUAUAAAAUUUAGUAUCUUUCAUUGUUCCUUUCCUUUUCUAUCGCAUUGGAUACAAGACUGUGAGCAGUGGCUUUGGGUCAGUGGGUGAUAUCAAACCUUCAAACGCUGGGCGGGGAAGAUCCUCGUUUUGUCACACAUCAGUGCUGAGAACUCGUGGUAUAAUUAUCAUUGUUACUGGUGCAACAGAACUGUGGCGGAAUUUUUUUCCCCGCUCGAUGACGCAGCUCUUGUGUUUAUUGAGACGACAAUUGGGUGAGAUUUCGGCGAACCUUUGGGAGGUUUCUGUACGACGCUUCACAAGCAACUCGUAGUGGGAUCUAUGCGAAAUGUUAUUAUCCAUCUGCAUGUCACCCGUGCUGUCAAUUGGGGCUUCAUGUAGGAUAGCUCUCGUAUUUAAGAUUG
Molecule: small RNA, 7454 nt
Filed under: Histoplasma capsulatum
Lineage: Eukaryota; Fungi; Ascomycota; Eurotiomycetes; Onygenales; Ajellomycetaceae
Also listed under: 1 other name
Description: hypothetical RNA
Source: RNAcentral